This 531-nucleotide ribosomal RNA is filed under the name uncultured bacterium. RNAcentral describes it as "partial 16S ribosomal RNA". It matches the Rfam family "Bacterial small subunit ribosomal RNA", at positions 31 to 542 of the family's 1533-position model. The record is from RNAcentral.
GAUGAACGCUGGCGGCGUGCCUAAUACAUGCAAGUCGAGCGAACGGACGAGAAGCUUGCUUCUCUGAUGUUAGCGGCGGACGGGUGAGUAACACGUGGAUAACCUACCUAUAAGACUGGGAUAACUUCGGGAAACCGGAGCUAAUACCGGAUGAUAUUUUGAACCGCAUGGUUCAAAAGUGAAAGACGGUCUUGCUGUCACUUAUAGAUGGAUCCGCGCUGCAUUAGCUAGUUGGUAAGGUAACGGCUUACCAAGGCAACGAUGCAUAGCCGACCUGAGAGGCCCACACGGGAGCGAGACACCGGGCACGACUGUGAGGGGAAGAAGAAGUAAGGAAUCUGCCGCAGGGGGCGAAAGGCUGACGGGGCAACGGAGUGUGAGUGAUGAGGGUCGUGGAAUCGUAAAUCGCUGUUAUUAACGAAACACAUAUUUGUUAGUAACUGUCAACAUCUUGACGCAACAUAAAAAGAAAGCAACGGCUAACUACGUGCCCGCAGCUGCGCUAAUAAGCGUAAGGGCAACCGUUCGAAC